UUAUUAUAUUCAUAACUCCUAAAAUUUUGUCUGAGGAUACUUAAUGAAAUUUUGAACCAAUAUCCCUAAAUGACUAUCACAAAGGAGAAGU
Long non-coding RNA from Thalassophryne amazonica, 91 nucleotides. RefSeq lists it as uncharacterized. NCBI's taxonomy places the organism in Eukaryota, Metazoa, Chordata, Actinopteri, Batrachoidiformes, Batrachoididae. The transcript has 3 exons. The record is from RefSeq and is a predicted model, not a curated record.